GCACAGGUGGCGGAAUGGUAGACGCGUAAGGUUGAGGUCCUUAUUGGUAGUUUUCCAGUGAGAGUUCAAAUCUCUUCCUGUGCA
Molecule: transfer RNA, 84 nt
Filed under: Fusobacterium varium ATCC 27725
Lineage: Bacteria; Fusobacteriati; Fusobacteriota; Fusobacteriia; Fusobacteriales; Fusobacteriaceae
Rfam family: tRNA
About the family: Transfer RNA (tRNA) molecules are approximately 80 nucleotides in length. Their secondary structure includes four short double-helical elements and three loops (D, anti-codon, and T loops).
Source: Rfam by way of RNAcentral